Molecule: ribosomal RNA, 62 nt
Filed under: Maxillaria proboscidea
Lineage: Eukaryota; Viridiplantae; Streptophyta; Magnoliopsida; Asparagales; Orchidaceae
Description: partial 26S ribosomal RNA
Source: RNAcentral
GCCACCCCAGGAUGGGCGAAGCCCCCCCCCANGUUUAAGCAUAUCAAUAAGCGGAGGAGAAG